Molecule: ribosomal RNA, 301 nt
Filed under: uncultured bacterium
Lineage: Bacteria
Description: partial 16S ribosomal RNA
Rfam family: Bacterial small subunit ribosomal RNA
Source: RNAcentral
CAGCAGCCACGGUAAUACGUAGGGCGCAAGCGUUAUCCGGAAUUAUUGGGCGUAAAGAGCUCGUAGGCGGUUUGUCGCGUCUGCCGUGAAAGUCCGGGGCUCAACCCCGGAUCUGCGGUGGGUACGGGCAGACUAGAGUGAUGUAGGGGAGACUGGAAUUCCUGGUGUAGCGGUGAAAUGCGCAGAUAUCAGGAGGAACACCGAUGGCGAAGGCAGGUCUCUGGGCAUUAACUGACGCUGAGGAGCGAAAGCAUGGGGAGCGAACAGGAUUAGAUACCCCUGUAGUCCCUGUCUCUUAUAC